UUCGAUGGGGCAGGACAUCUCAAGACAAUGAACCGGCUGAUCCAAAUGACUGCCAACAAAAACACAAAGCUAACACCUCAGUGGAUCAAAGAACGCCACGAGGUUAGAAACAAAAUCCAUGGGUGGAUUGCACUACAAUUGCAAUAGCAGAAGAAGGAAUUUGUUGCCUGCAUUACCUUAGAUUGUUUAGGACCGAAAGGACUCGAUGGUCAUGGCCCUGUGGCAUAUCAAAACGGGUUAAUUGCUGCUAACAAGGUUUUGCUAUAUUUACGACAAGGAAUGGUGGAAUUAUAUCUGUAGCACAUAAUAUACAGUAACUUCUGUUGUCGGUCGUAAUUUAAAAUAGCUUGUUAGAUUAUUAUUUGUACUUUAUAAAAAGAAAAUGUAAAAUUUGCAAUCUCCAAAUUGAGACACAAAA
Molecule: long non-coding RNA, 418 nt
Organism: Gossypium arboreum
Lineage: Eukaryota; Viridiplantae; Streptophyta; Magnoliopsida; Malvales; Malvaceae
Exons: 2
Source: RefSeq, a predicted model, not a curated record